CUGCGAACGGCUCAUUAAAUCAGUUAUCGUUUAUUUGAUAGUACCUUACUACUUGGAUAACCGUGGUAAUUCUAGAGCUAAUACAUGCUAAAAAUCCCAACCUCUGGAAGGGAUGUAUUUAUUAGAUAAAAAACCAAUGCCUUCGGGCUUCUUGGUGAUUCAUGAUAACUUCACGAAUCGCAUGGCCUUGUGCCGGCGAUGGUUCAUUCAAAUUUCUGCCCUAUCAACUUUCGAUGGUAGGAUAGUGGCCUACCAUGGUUUCAACGGGUAACGGGGAAUUAGGGUUCGAUUCCGGAGAGGGAGCCUGAGAAACGGCUACCACAUCCAAGGAAGGCAGCAGGCGCGCAAAUUACCCAAUCCCGACACGGGGAGGUAGUGACAAUAAAUACUGAUACAGGGCCCUUUCGGGUCUUGUAAUUGGAAUGAGUACAAUUUAAAUCCUUUAACGAGGAACAAUUGGAGGGCAAGUCUGGUGCCAGCAGCCGCGGUAAUUCCAGCUCCAAUAGCGUAUAUUAAAGUUGUUGCAGUUAAAAAGCUCGUAGUUGAACCUUGGAUCUGGGUGACUGGUCUGCCGUACCUGGCAUGUACUGGAAACCCGGGUCUUUCCUUCUGGAGAACCGCAUGCCCUUUACUGGGUGUGUCUGGGGAACCAGGACUUUUACUUUGAAAAAAUUAGAGUGUUCAAAGCAGGCAUUUGCUCGAAUACAUUAGCAUGGAAUAAUAGAAUAGGACGUGCGGUUCUAUUUUGUUGGUUUCUAGGACCGCCGUAAUGAUUAAUA
RNAcentral lists this ribosomal RNA (779 nucleotides) under Neottiella ricciae. RNAcentral describes it as "SSU rRNA". It matches the Rfam family "Eukaryotic small subunit ribosomal RNA", at positions 87 to 874 of the family's 1831-position model. The record is from RNAcentral. Lineage: Eukaryota; Fungi; Ascomycota; Pezizomycetes; Pezizales; Pyronemataceae.